AAUGAUGACAGGCACAAAAGUACCCAAGCGGUGUAUGCCUGGGGUUCUCCCAAGUGCUCCCUUGGGAGGUUGUGGCUGAAACUGGAAGUUUCCAUCUGGUCGCGUGUGUGCAGACCCCUCUGGGUCUGGGCAGUGGACUGUCAAGGCGCCAGCAGGACGUGCUCGUGCCUGAGGGUCUGUAGUGGAGCUGGCAUCUCCAGGCCCGGCUGUCCCUCUUUGGGGGCUGGCCUUGGGCAUCGCAGAAUCUUGCAGGAGUGAUGACUCCUGCCAGACGCUUCUCAUCAUCCUCGCAGGAACCUUCUGAAUUCACUAUUUGGAACCAGCCCACAGUCACUGCGCCACGGGCAGCCAUCCUUCUAGGCAGAAAGCAAACCUAACAAGGCAGAUGUGUGAGUGCCUAAAAUUGCUUAGAAAGAAAAUUUUCAGAGAAAGAAAAAAAGACUUUAAAAAUAUUUUCAACAAUGAAAACAACAUCUUGGAAAUAGAGAACCUUCUAGGGUGAUUCCUUUAGCGUUCUCUUCUCUUUUGGUCUUGAAGAGCUCUACUUUACUAUCGUCGAGCUGUGUGUCUCUGGGCGUGUCCCCCUCUGGGCUGUGCACAAGCGGGCUCUAGGUGUGUCCCCGUCUCCAAGCAGCUCGGCCAGCAAAGCGUUUCUCCACUGCAGGGAAUUUCCAGGAGGCAGAUCCUGCCUCAGCUGCGGUGCCUUUCCCGAAUGGACGGUCCAGGACGGCAGGGACCUGGUCUGGCUCACGCUGCAUCCAGUGCCUAGAGAAACAGGCUUCAUUAACUGACCACCCGCUUUGUGCCAGGCACUGUCUUAAAUGCUUUAAACGCAUCAUCGGAUCUGAUCCUCACCAUAGUCCUACAAGGAUUUUGACCCAAGUAGGAGAAUGAUGCUCGGAGAAGCUGAGAAUCUUGCCCAAGGACAUAUAAUUUGACCCUCGCAGUCUGCACGUCUGCACGUACUCUUAACUGCCAUACCGACUUGGCCGUGAGAAUGUGCCCUUUCCACCGGCCCUGCACAUCCUCUGCUGGGGAACACCCCCCUUUUUCGGCCCUUGCUUGCUGAGCUCCCUGUGCCAGCCUCAGGGAUGCUGAACCCCUGCCGCCCCACCCCUACCACCCUGGCCUUUGGAGGGGGCGUGGAGGUGCACUCAUGCUUGGGGGAUCCAGAAUAUCCCACUGUGAAGAGGGUUGUUUUUCUCUUGAACGCCCUUUAUCUGAAAUCAGGGCCUCCCAAAAGAAUUCGACUGUCGUAAGUCCCCUCCCCAGGAGUUUUGCAACCAGAGAAGGUUGACUCCUGUCACCAGAGAGAAAUCUGCACUGCGAUAAGAAAGCUAUGAGAUCGCCCAUCUCUUCUCCUAAGGGCCCAUUUAUCUUUCCAAAAAUCGUUUGUUUUUCUGUAAGUUCUGCUCUCCCCUCCCCUUCCCCUAUGAAGAUGGGCUGUAAGCUCCAAAUUCUAACUACCUCCUUGAGUCACACUUUUCCGUGAACCCCUAUGCACGUAUGUGAACUAA
Long non-coding RNA from Equus quagga, 1517 nucleotides. RefSeq lists it as uncharacterized. The record is from RefSeq and is a predicted model, not a curated record. NCBI's taxonomy places the organism in Eukaryota, Metazoa, Chordata, Mammalia, Perissodactyla, Equidae. The transcript has 3 exons.